CAUCUCUCACGCUGAAACCCUAAGAUGCUCAAGCGAAAUUGAACAAUCUCUCACUCGAACUCGUCCUCUCUCUCUCACACUCGUUCUCUCGAACUCCUCAUCUCAGAUUCGCUCAAACUUCAUCGUCUUCUUCAGGUUCUCCAGAUUCGUUCAAGCUUCAGAUUAUUUCAAGGAUUUAUGCAAAGUGAGUGUGUGGAAGAGUGAAGCAACCAAGCAGACUUAGGUUAGUUCAAUUGAGGCUUCUCAACAAUAACUAUAAUAAUUGCCAGGAAGUUUGGAUUACCGUGUUACGGAGGAAAGUUUGAUGGAUCGCGUAGGUACAAAUAUGCAUGAAGCAUGCCUGCAGAUUGACAAAGAAUGCAGGUUAGUGGAAAAGCUGUUUGAUCUCUCCUGCUGCAGCCUUUUGUUUAUAGUUUCAUUUCUUUAUUCAUCAAGUUAUUGAACAUCAAUGUGGAUGUUAGAGUUUCACAAAAGUAUUUGUAAAACUGAAGCAAUCAAAAGCAUGAUAUCUCUCUUUUAUUCAUCAGGUUCUUUAGGAAGUGUAUUGUGAUUUUGUUAGUUUUAUGUGUGUAAUUACUUAUUGAUUAAUCAAAAGCAUGAUAUCUCUCUUCUAUUCA
Molecule: long non-coding RNA, 617 nt
Organism: Trifolium pratense (red clover)
Lineage: Eukaryota; Viridiplantae; Streptophyta; Magnoliopsida; Fabales; Fabaceae
Exons: 3
Source: RefSeq, a predicted model, not a curated record